CCUACGGGAGGCUGCAGUGGGGAAUAUUGGACAAUGGGCGAAAGCCUGAUCCAGCCAUGCCGCGUGUGUGAAGAAGGCCUUCGGAUUGUAAAGCACUUUCAGUGGGGAAGAAAGCCUUGGGGCUAAUACCCUCGAGGAAGGACAUCACCCACAGAAGAAGCACCGGCUAACUCCGUGCCAGCAGCCGCGGUAAUACGGAGGGUGCGAGCGUUAAUCGGAAUUACUGGGCGUAAAGCGCGCGUAGGCGGUCUGAUAAGCCGGUUGUGAAAGCCCCGGGCUCAACCUGGGAACGGCAUCCGGAACUGUCAGGCUAGAGUGCAGGAGAGGAAGGUAGAAUUCCCGGUGUAGCGGUGAAAUGCGUAGAGAUCGGGAGGAAUACCAGUGGCGAAGGCGGCCUUCUGGACUGACACUGACGCUGAGGUGCGAAAGCGUGGGUAGCAAACAGGAUUAGAUACCCUUGUAGUC
This 465-nucleotide ribosomal RNA is filed under the name Vreelandella stevensii. Its description in RNAcentral is "partial 16S ribosomal RNA". It matches the Rfam family "Bacterial small subunit ribosomal RNA", at positions 338 to 795 of the family's 1533-position model. Lineage: Bacteria; Pseudomonadati; Pseudomonadota; Gammaproteobacteria; Oceanospirillales; Halomonadaceae. The record is from RNAcentral.